AUGUGCAUUCCAAAAAACGAAGGAAGUAUGGGUUUUCGUGAUAUACAUUGCUUCAAUCUAGCUUUAUUGGCUAAACAAGUGUGACAUCUCCUUGAUAAUCCCUAUUCUCUAUGUGCUAAUAUAUUGAGAGCAAAGUAUUUCCCGAUGUUGAUUUGA
Molecule: ribosomal RNA, 156 nt
Filed under: Triticum aestivum (bread wheat)
Lineage: Eukaryota; Viridiplantae; Streptophyta; Magnoliopsida; Poales; Poaceae
Description: partial small subunit ribosomal RNA
Source: RNAcentral